GGGCCCUUCGGGACUGGGAGCGUACACAGGUGCUGCAUGGCUGUCGUCAGCUCGUGUCGUGAGAGUGUUCGGGUUAAGUCCCCGCAACGAGCCGCAACCCCUGCUGCCAGUUGCCAACGGGUGGAAGCCGGGCACUCUGGAAGGACUGCCAUCGACAAGAUGGAGGAAGGUGGGGAUGACGUCAAGUCAUCAUGGCCCUUAUGGUCCAGGGCGACACACGUGCUACAAUGGCCGGCACAACGGGAAGCGAGUUCGCGAGGACGAGCGGAUCCCUCAAAGCCGGUCGCAGUUCGGAUUGAAGUCUGCAACUCGACUUCAUGAAGCUGGAAUCGCUAGUAAUCGUGGAUCAGCCAAGCCGCGGUGAAUACGUUCCCGGGCCUU
This 381-nucleotide ribosomal RNA is filed under the name uncultured Synergistaceae bacterium. Its description in RNAcentral is "bacterial SSU rRNA". It matches the Rfam family "Bacterial small subunit ribosomal RNA", at positions 1009 to 1382 of the family's 1533-position model. The record is from RNAcentral. Lineage: Bacteria; Thermotogati; Synergistota; Synergistia; Synergistales; Synergistaceae.